Long non-coding RNA from Drosophila obscura, 941 nucleotides. RefSeq lists it as uncharacterized. The record is from RefSeq and is a predicted model, not a curated record. Lineage: Eukaryota; Metazoa; Arthropoda; Insecta; Diptera; Drosophilidae. The transcript is spliced from 4 exons.
UAUUCGGUUUAAUAUUACUAGCUAGUUAGCCCUCUCAGCCCGAAACAAAUAUUUUUUUCCAAUUCCUCAAUCAAUUUUGUACAGGAUUGGUUAAUUUUUAGAAUGAGGUUCAAACAAAAACGGCCAAAAUCUGUUUGUUAUUUUACAGCCCUGGCGAAAUUGUUGAUAGGAGGAGGAGAGUGCAGCAGCAGCAGGACCUGAGCCUUAGAAGGAGGAGAAUGGAGCAAGUUUAAGCCUUAAAAGAAGCGCAGGUCUAAACCGUAGAAAGAGCAGGUCUAAGCCUUAAAAGGAGGCAGGUCUAAGCCUUAGAAGGAGCAGGCCUUAGCUUUAGAAGGGGUCAGAUGGAAAUUUAAAAACUCAGCAAAGAAAAGCCACUGAAACCCAAACACGAAGCGUUAAUGAGAGACCCCUUCUCUUCUCGCUCCCCAAAAGCCAUCGCCUCGCCCUGUGAGGGAGUGAGAGAAGGUGAGCCCCCAGGGGCAGAAGAGGAACCAUAACGGAUGGCCAGCAGGCAGAAGUGGCGACUUUUUGAUACCUAUUGCUACCCAUCUACAUUAUAUGGAAAUUGUCAAAGCAGGCCAAGAGCUAAGCAGCAAUAGAUAUAGAAAAUAUAUAUAUAAAUCAAAUCUGAAGCAGAAGCAGAACGGAUCUCAAAUAAUACAAAGCAAAAAAAAAAAAAGGAAAAGUGAAUAAGAAAAUCGAAAGUCUAGAAUGGGCCCAAAACGAAAUUUGAGAGAGUUGAAAGAUUAUAAUAGAGAGGAAUGGGAAGACCUUCAAGUCUUUCGGGCGAGAUUGAUGCAAUGGAAUAAUGCGUUCAAACGCUUAAAUAGAACUAUACUAAACUUAUUUUUCUUCAUCUUAAUUGGCAUACUCAUUGGCAAAUAUGUAUUAUAAAUUUAACAAAUUUAAAAUCAUUUAAAUAAAUGGAUAUGCCCUCUUUA